RNAcentral lists this long non-coding RNA (300 nucleotides) under Salmo salar (Atlantic salmon). RNAcentral's name for it is "lncRNA (ENSSSAG00000108694.1, ENSSSAG00075030027.1)". Lineage: Eukaryota; Metazoa; Chordata; Actinopteri; Salmoniformes; Salmonidae. The record is from RNAcentral.
UGUGUUACUGCAACAGUGGCCUGAGGCUGCAGGGGAAACUCGCUGCUCUGGACUGUGCUGACCACUCUGUCUCCACGUUCCAUGUUCCAGAAUGCUGCCGUUGGCGAGGACAAUCUCAUCUUUACUGUUAAGAGAUAUGAACCUGGAGAAGAGUCCCCUAAGGAAGCUGGUCCUGGGGCUCUGUUCACAAACAGACCCCACAGAGCCCUAAGACAGCAGCACAAUUAGACCCAACCAAAUCGUGAGUAAACAAAAAGAUAAUUAUUUAACAAAAUGGAAAGAAUUAACAAAAAAGCUGAG